This is a non-coding RNA of Vicugna pacos (alpaca), 1494 nucleotides long. The record is from RefSeq and is a predicted model, not a curated record. Lineage: Eukaryota; Metazoa; Chordata; Mammalia; Artiodactyla; Camelidae.
ACAGAUGAGGAAACUGAUGGUCAACAAGAUGCCUGUUUGCCCGGGUUCUGGAAAGUGAUGGAGGCAGCUUCAGACGCAGUUAUGGAAAUUGAGGCUCAGAGCUGUUACGCAAUGUGGAGGGUGAAAGAAGCAAGCCACUCAGAUCCUUCCAGGCACUAGAGGAAGGAAUGAACUGGGAUUCGGAAGAUUCCAGUCUCUCUGCCACUGCCUUGCUGGGUGUUGAGUGGUACCUCUUGUUCCAGAAAGAUUGAGUCCUCACAGAAGAGAUGCUCUCCAUGAGAGAGGAGUGGGCUCUCCUUCCCACACACGCCAUCCACAGCGCUCCCUUGAACUUCAAAGAGAAGCCCCCCCCGCCAGGAAGCUGGACUUGUUCUAAGACGUGGCGAGGAGGUGGCUGUAGGCAAGCCGUAAGCAAAGCCCUCACCGGAGCCUGAUCAGGCCGCCACCCUCAUCUCAGCCCUCCAGCCUCCAGAACGGAGCCACUGCAUCUGAGCAGGAGGGCACAGUACAUCCUGCCACCAGGAGUUAAGCCACCUUCCUCCUGGCCCAGGGAACACAGGCGAGGCAAGAAGAAAACCCACCCGUGGCUCAGUCCUAGGGAACCAAAGGCAGGAGGGGAACUCCAGGCUUCCAGAUGUCGCGUUGGGAACGAUCAGCACGUCUCCCUUGCAGACACGGAUGACCCCUCACGAUGGGUCCUACCAAGAAAGAGAUCAUGUGUUCUUUUGAUCAAGCCAUAUGCAGUGUUGAACUGUCUCACGCAACUGGAGCUCAUCCAUUUGUUUCUAUGCCAUGACCUGUGAGAGUUUCUCCCGGAGCCUGUGCCGAGGACCGAUACAAGGUAGACCAGCACUGGCAUUUCUGCAUUUGUGACCAAAACAGGAUGUACAGAAGCUAAACACACAAGCUCUGGAUUCAGAUUUCCAAUGCCAAAUGUUGGUCUUUGCCACUCACCCCUUGUGCGUUCUUAAACUUAACCUUAACCUUAACCUCUCUGCACCUCAGUGUCCUUACCUGCAAAACAUAAAAUUUUUAUUUACCUUUUAGGCUCAUGGCAAAGUUUAUUCCAUUAAUAUAUGGAAAAGGUUUACAACAGUGUGAAGCAUGACGCAGUGAGCGCUCUAUAAGUGUUAUCCAUUAUUGAUGCUUUCAUCUGGCAAAGUGUUGCGAGGGCAAUUAAGUAAGACAAAGUACAUUACUUGAGGUACAUUGCACUCUUGCUUCUGAACAAAUAUAUUUGUUAUUUUCCCUGGUCAGACCACGUAGCACUUUUGAACGAAUUAUGCACACGCAGAACAUUUUUGAGUACUCCUGGGCACGCUAGGCAAACUCCAUAGAGACAUCUUUCCUCCGCCACCAAGUGCAUUCUCUUCCCAUCUCUAUCCCCAAACUAACACGUACCCCUAGAGCUCUUGUUAAUCACAAGAUGUUGCUCCAUGCUCACCCACCCCAAGCUUGCCGAAUGUUUAAGCUCCUUCUCUCUGUUCACAAGCA